UAAGAUGGCUAUAUUAGACUGGCUGUACCUGAUCUUGUCUGAUUAGCCCAAGUUAACAGGAAUGGGCCCAACUAAUACUUCGAUGGGAGACUACCUGGGAAUCUUGGGGGCCAUAG
Molecule: ribosomal RNA, 116 nt
Filed under: Crocodylus porosus (Australian saltwater crocodile)
Lineage: Eukaryota; Metazoa; Chordata; Crocodylia; Crocodylidae
Source: RNAcentral